Molecule: ribosomal RNA, 490 nt
Filed under: uncultured bacterium
Lineage: Bacteria
Description: partial 16S ribosomal RNA
Rfam family: Bacterial small subunit ribosomal RNA
Source: RNAcentral
GAUGAACGCUAGCUACAGGCUUAACACAUGCAAGUCGCGGGGCAGCAUGGGGGUUGCUUGCACUCCCCGAUGGCGACCGGCGCACGGGUGAGUAACGCGUAUCCAACCUGCCCUUCACCACGGGAUAACCCGGCGAAAGUCGGACUAAUACCGUAUGUUGUCCAUUGACGGCAUCCGAUUUGGACGAAAGGUUUGGCGGUGAAGGAUGGGGAUGCGUCCGAUUAGCUGGACGGCGGGGUGACGGCCCACCGUGGCGACGAUCGGUAGGGGUUCUGAGAGGAAGGUCCCCCACACUGGAACUGAGACACGGCCCAGACUCCUACGGGAGGCAGCAGUGAGGAAUAUUGGUCAAUGGGCGUAAGCCUGAACCAGCCAAGUAGCGUGCAGGAUGACGGCCCUAUGGGUUGUAAACUGCUUUUAUGCGGGGAUAAAGUGGCCCACGUGUGGGUUUUUGCAGGUACCGCAUGAAUAAGGACCGGCUAAUUCCGUG